GUGAGGAAUAUUGGGCAAUGGGGGAAACCCUGACCCAGCGACGCCGCGUGAGGGAAGAAGGUCUUCGGAUUGUAAACCUCUGUCUUCGGGGACGAUAAUGACGGUACCCGGGGAGGAAGCCACGGCUAACUACGUGCCAGCAGCCGCGGUAAAACGUAGGUGGCAAGCGUUGUCCGGAAUUACUGGGUGUAAAGGGAGCGCAGGUGGGGCUGUAAGUCGAAUGUGAAAUCUAUGGGCUCAACUCAUAAAUUGCGUUCGAUACUAUAGUUCUUGAGUGGAGUAGAGGCAGGCGGAAUUCCCGGUGUAGCGGUGGAAUGCGUAGAUAUCGGGAGGAACACCAGUGGCGAAGGCGGCCUGCUGGGCUUUAACUGACACUGAGGCUCGAAAGCGUGGGUAGCAAACAGGAUUAGAAACCCUGGUAGUCC
RNAcentral lists this ribosomal RNA (425 nucleotides) under uncultured bacterium. RNAcentral's name for it is "partial 16S ribosomal RNA". It matches the Rfam family "Bacterial small subunit ribosomal RNA", at positions 354 to 796 of the family's 1533-position model. The record is from RNAcentral.